RNAcentral lists this small RNA (110 nucleotides) under Castor canadensis (American beaver). Its description in RNAcentral is "7SK RNA (ENSCCNG00000005398.1)". It matches the Rfam family "7SK RNA", at positions 1 to 108 of the family's 331-position model. From Rfam's summary of the family: 7SK was discovered as an abundant small nuclear RNA in the mid-70s but a possible function has only recently been suggested. Two independent studies have found that 7SK RNA binds the CDK9/cyclin T complex (known as elongation factor P-TEFb). P-TEFb activates transcription by phosphorylating the C-terminal domain of RNA polymerase II. Lineage: Eukaryota; Metazoa; Chordata; Mammalia; Rodentia; Castoridae. The record is from RNAcentral.
GGAUGUGAGGGUGAUCUGGCUGUGACAUCUGUCACAUUAGCGAUUGCCAGGGUUGAUUUGGCUGAUAUGGCUGGCAUGGCAUCUGUCCCGUCUUCCUUUCCCAUUGCUUC